Molecule: ribosomal RNA, 81 nt
Filed under: Climacium japonicum
Lineage: Eukaryota; Viridiplantae; Streptophyta; Bryopsida; Hypnales; Climaciaceae
Description: partial 5.8S ribosomal RNA
Rfam family: 5.8S ribosomal RNA
About the family: 5.8S ribosomal RNA (5.8S rRNA) is a component of the large subunit of the eukaryotic ribosome.
Source: RNAcentral
CAGAAUUCCGCGAAUCAUCGAGUCUUUGAACGCAAGUUGCGCCCGAGGCUUGUCCGAGGGCAUUUCCGCUAGAGCGUCACC